Oncorhynchus masou masou (cherry salmon) is the source of this 1629-nucleotide long non-coding RNA. RefSeq lists it as uncharacterized. The transcript has 5 exons. Lineage: Eukaryota; Metazoa; Chordata; Actinopteri; Salmoniformes; Salmonidae. The record is from RefSeq and is a predicted model, not a curated record.
UGUCUCCAGGUGUAGAUCGUCUGGACAGAGACCUGACUAUAGGCCAAAUGCAAGGCAAAUUCAUGAUGCAGGUGCUGCCCCCUAGUGGCCACGCAGUGCACGAGGACACACCAGACAAAGUUGCAGAUGCUCUGGCCAGCUUUCUGUUCAGACACAAGUUUGCUGAGGCCAGCAGAGGUCAGCGCACGAGCUCCUCCUACCCUUUCACGCGGUGAAGUCAGCAGGCCAACAGAGUACAUCCAGUCUUUCUGUGUCCUGAACAACAAAUAUUUCAAUCCUUUUCAUAUUUUACUUUCCAACAGUUUAUAGUGUUUUAGUAUUAACUUUGGUUACAUCAUUUUAGCAUCUUAGUCACUUAGAGUUCAAUCUUUUACAGUCGUAGUGUAGUUCAGCAAAUAUAUUGCAGUGUUUUUAAUAAGGUACAAGCCCCAGUAGUACGGGCAGCGGGAUGAUGUUAUGUAUGUAGUAAAAUGUGUCGAGUUGGACUGUGACUUCAAACACGUGUUGGGUAAACAGUUCUCAUGGGAGAGGAAUGUGACGAUCACUAACACACACACACACACACACACACACACACACACACACACACACACACACACACACACACACACACUAAGGAAGGCAGGCAUGCACACACACACUAAGGAAAGUAGGCAUACACACACACACACACACACACUAAGGAAGGCAGGCAUGCACACACACACACACACACACACACACACACACACACACACACACACACACACACACACACACACACUAAGGAAAGCAGGCAUGCACACACACACACACACUAAGGAAAGCAGGCACGCACACACACACACACACACACUAAGUAGGCAUACACACACACACUAAGGAAAGUAGGCAUACACACACACACUAAGUAGGCAUACACACACACACACACUAAGGAAAGCAGGCAUGCGCACACACACACACACUAAGGAAGGCAGGCAUGCGCGCACACACACACACACACACACACACACUAAGGAAAGCAGGCAUGCACACACACACACACACUAAGGAAAGCAGGCAUGCACACACACACUAAGGAAAGCAGGAACACAUACACACACACUAAGGAAGGCAGGCAUGCGCGCACACACACACACACACACACACACUAAGGAAAGCAGGCAUGCACACACACACUAAGGAAAGCAGGAACACAUACACACACACUAAGGAAGGCAGGCAUGCGCGCGCACACACACACACACACACACACUAAGGAAAGCAGGCAUGCACACACACACUAAGGAAAGCAGGAACACAUACACACACACUAAGGAAGGCAGGCAUGCGCGCGCACACACACACACACACACACACACACUAAGGAAAGCAGGCAUGCACACACACACUAAGGAAAGCAGGAACACAUACACACACACUAAGGAAGGCAGGCAUGCGCGCGCACACACACACACACACACACACUAAGGAAAGCAGGCAUACACACACACACACACUAAGGAAAGCAGGCAUACACACACACACACUAAGGAAAGCAGGCAUACACACACACACACACACACACACACUAAGGAAAGUAGGCAUGCGCGCACACACACACACACACACACACUAAGGAAGGCAGGCAUACGCACACACACACAC